AGGCGAGGCGAGGCAAGAGAGAUCGUGCGGUAGAAUGGUUAGCGCUGAGGUGAAGGGUGCCUAUAAUGACUGAGCCCGAUGCUACGAAAGCUAUGGAUGCAUAAUUGGAUUUUUAAAAUUUCUUGUGGAGGGUAUCCGUCACUCACGAAAACAGGUUCGUCAUAACCAAUAUGCAUGUCCGACAGUCUGAUGCCUACCAAACCAAUCCUCAGUAUAUGCUAUAUGUAUGGAGUUAAUAAGCUUUUUCAUUAGAACUUUGUACGUAUGUCACUGCCAGAUGGGCUAUUAUG
This 290-nucleotide long non-coding RNA is filed under the name Oryza brachyantha (malo sina). RNAcentral's name for it is "long non-coding RNA (OBRA_LNC002944)". Lineage: Eukaryota; Viridiplantae; Streptophyta; Magnoliopsida; Poales; Poaceae. The record is from RNAcentral.